GCUAUCUACCAAGUAUGUGAGCUUCUGAAUUUGGAACUGCUAAGAUUGGGGAGUGACUGUCUAUUUACCUCACUGUGGUGGGGGAGAAAGCUUUAAAAAAAAUUGGACUGUGGAACAAGAGUGACAUCCAGUGGCCACUAAGACAACUUCAAAAAUUAGGAUUUAUCUGUAAGGAAAACACUGGGGCCUAAUUUGAUUAGUAGAAUGUCUGUCAUCUGGUGGGCGGGGAUUUUAUGUUGUGCUCUGGAAUUGGCCCCUCUCUUCAGGUGUUCAGUUAAGUUCAGUUAGAGAGACCAACUGUCAUUCUUGUCUCAUGUUGUUGUAGUUUCUCUCAGACACUAUAUUAUUGUGUUACAAUUUUCUUUGACAUAACGGGAGACGCUUACUUUGCUGAAAGAAAAGAAACUCUGCUGAAGAACGUUGGAAUAUCUUAAACUGGCAGCUCAAGUGACUCCAGUUGAACUCUGGCAUUUAUCACAGACGAAAUUAGGUCAGCAGAGAACAUAGAGGUACUGAACUGAAAGGGGAAUAAAUUUGUCCUAAAAAGGGAAAUGGGAAGAGGCUCUCACAUUGUUGUUUAAAUCAGCUGCUGCUCACAGACGGAUCUAACAACGUAGUCUGGGCUCCGUGCCAAAGGCUGGUAUUUCACAGCAGCGACCGCCUUACAGAUGAGCUGUGGGAAGCAAGAGGGAGAAUCUCUUAGGGUGCCACUACUAUGGAGACACAGCUGGGCUGAACAUGAUUUGCUUCAUACGACAACAAGAGAGGCAGAAAAGUGUCUGGUUCAAGCGCUGCCCAAGCAGGCAGUAACCAGAAGAGCUAGCAGCCAAUCCGGCCAAGCUGCACUGUUCGAAACCAGCUCCACAUCUCAGCCAAUCAGUGACAUCAUUGGUCUUCAGGGAUUUUCACCAUGUAGCUGGCAACACAGAGUUCUUAUUUAACCAUCAGGCGUACUGCACAAAUGUGCUGUGAAAAAUUAAAAUGGAAAAGAAAACCGAAGAACUGGAUCAUGUAAGAACUGAAUGAAGCUGAGCUGCAUCAUGAAGAAAGACAGGAAUGAGUUAUAUACACCAGUCUCUGCCUCAGUGGCCAGGAUCUUUAUGGCUGCUGAUUCUUUGGCUCUGGGUUCAUCUGCCGAACAUCAUGGAUCUGUUCCUAAAAGUAGACAUUUUCUUUUCCAUUCUACAAUUGAGACUCAGAUGCCGAAGGAGAGAGAGUGAAUCUUUUCCGCAUUGUUGUUGUGCCAUUAAAAGUCUUGGACUUUAAAAGCAAAAAGUGAUUGGGGAAAAUACCUUCUUUCCCGCCUGCUAACUGUAUGAAGAAUAUUUUUUGAAAGUUCAAACGUGGUUCAACCGACUCGGGACCAAGAAUGACAAGUUAGCUCAAAGUCAUUGUGUUCUGCAGUUUAGGAUGUGGAAAGUAAAUCUGCAUUCAAAAGUCAGGUGCUUUUUCAUAUUAGUAGAGAGAUACAUAUUCAAUAAAAGAAAGAAGGGGGGAAACAUAAGUGAUACCCAAAGGGCAUUCUUGGUCUAAAAUGGCUUUAAGGUGCAGAAUGUUUUAGGGCCCACUGUAAAUAUGGUAGUGAAGAUAUAAUGCUGAACUGUUUAAUCUUUGUCUAAGCCACUGGAAAAAAUAGGAGAGUGUUUAAAAGUCUGUUUGAAACAGAUGUAACCUGCUUUUAGCUUCCUGUUCUUACUUCUUUUGCAUGCACAACUUUGAUAGCCUUUAUAAAUGGGAGGGUUUAUUAAAUAAAUAAAUAAAUCUCAAUAACAUCUUGCUCAUGCAACUGAAGGUCUGCUUUGUCAGUGUUAGUGUUGCCUCUUUUUGUUAUAUCUUCCGCACUUGCUGAAAGAGAUACUUUCUAAAACAACAACAAAGCCCAAUCUGAUUAAUUGAAGAAGAAUUCGACUGGAUCUUAUCGGACUUUUCCUAGUCCCUGAGACCCUAACUUGUGAGGUUUUUUAGUAACAAUCACAAGUCAGGCUCUUGGGACCUAGGCGGAGGGGAACCAGCAACUUUGGACUUUAAUGAUUAACUUUCCACGAUAUUAGCAGCAUAAAAAGAGAUAUUUGUUGAUGGGGGAGGUAUGUGAUGUUUUGGCCCACAGAGAAAUGCAUUGUGCAGAAUAGAGAUGGCAACGUGCUGUGUUACAGGUUCAUAUAUUCAAACAGCUGUACUGUACUCUUUAAUGUUUUGAAUUAAUGUUGGGCCUUCAUUCAAGUGCUGGAGAAUAAAGCAUCCCUGUGAUUAGAUAAUGAAACUAUGCUUGACUCGUUUGCCAUUUCCACACUGAGGCCUAGCAAACCAGUAUCUUCCCCCUCCCACCUAUAAAGUUUUGAUGCAAGUGUAUAGAUAGGUGUUUGCUUGUCCUGUCAUUUUGUUCCAAUGUUUUAAAUGCUCUCAUCUCUGUUUCUUUAAUUCUAACCAGCAUCACAGCAUUCUAUAGCACUUCCAUAGUUUUACUAUAACAUAAAGCUAAUAUCAAAUGUA
This is a long non-coding RNA of Podarcis raffonei (Aeolian wall lizard), 2490 nucleotides long. RefSeq lists it as uncharacterized. The record is from RefSeq and is a predicted model, not a curated record. NCBI's taxonomy places the organism in Eukaryota, Metazoa, Chordata, Lepidosauria, Squamata, Lacertidae. The transcript is spliced from 6 exons.